AUGAACGCUGGCGCCGUGCCUAAUACAUGCAAGUCGAGCGAACAGACGAGGAGCUUGCUCCUCUGACGUUAGCGGCGGACGGGUGAGUAACACGUGGAUAACCUACCUAUAAGACUGGGAUAACUUCGGGAAACCGGAGCUAAUACCGGAUAAUAUAUUUAACCGCAUGGUUCAAUAGUGAAAGACGGUUUUGCUGUCACUUAUAGAUGGAUCCGCGCCGCAUUAGCUAGUUGGUAAGGUAACGGCUUACCAAGGCAACGAUGCGUAGCCGACCUGAGAGGGUAAUCGGCCACACUGGAACUGAGACACGGUCCAGACUCCAACGGGAGGCAGCAGUAGGGAAUCUUCCACAAUGGGCGAAAGCCUGACGGAGCAACGCCGCGUGAGUGAUGAAGGUCUUCGUAUCGUAAAACUCUGUUAUUAGGGAAGAACAAAUGUGUAAGUAACUAUGCACGUCUUGACGGUACCUAAUCAGAAAGCCACGGCUAACUACGUG
Molecule: ribosomal RNA, 496 nt
Filed under: uncultured bacterium
Lineage: Bacteria
Description: partial 16S ribosomal RNA
Rfam family: Bacterial small subunit ribosomal RNA
Source: RNAcentral